GACGAACGCUGGCGGCGUGCUUAACACAUGCAAGUCGAACGGAAAGGCCCUGCUUUUGUGGGGUGCUCGAGUGGCGAUCGGGUGAGUAACACGUGAGUAACCUGCCCUUGACUUUGGGAUAACUUCAGGAAACUGGGGCUAAUACCGGAUAGGAGCUCCUGCUGCAUGGUGGGGGUUGGAAAGUUUCGGCGGUUGGGGAUGGACUCGCGGCUUAUCAGCUUGUUGGUGGGGUAGUGGCUUACCAAGGCUUUGACGGGUAGCCGGCCUGAGAGGGUGACCGGCCACAUUGGGACUGAGAUACGGCCCAGACUCCUACGGGAGGCAGCAGUGGGGAAUAUUGCACAAUGGGCGGAAGCCUGAGGCAGCAACGCCGCGUGCGGGAUGACGGCCUUCGGGUUGUAAACCGCUUUCGCCUGUGACGAAGCGUGAGUGACGGUAAUGGGUAAAGAAGCACCGGCUAACUACGU
RNAcentral lists this ribosomal RNA (467 nucleotides) under uncultured bacterium. Its description in RNAcentral is "partial 16S ribosomal RNA". It matches the Rfam family "Bacterial small subunit ribosomal RNA", at positions 28 to 506 of the family's 1533-position model. The record is from RNAcentral.